Molecule: ribosomal RNA, 838 nt
Filed under: uncultured bacterium
Lineage: Bacteria
Description: bacterial SSU rRNA
Rfam family: Bacterial small subunit ribosomal RNA
Source: RNAcentral
AGUGGCGCACGGGUGAGUAACGCGUAAGUAACCUAUCCUUUUAUUGGGGAUAACAGAUCGAAAGGUCUGCUAAUACCGAAUAAUCUCUGGUGACGCGAGUUAUUGGAGGAAAGGCAACCUCUUGUUCAAAGUUGCUGUAGGGGGAGGGGCUUGCGUACCAUUAGCUAGUUGGUGGGGUAAAGGCUCACCAAGGCGACGAUGGUUAGCGGGUCUGAGAGGAUGAUCCGCCACACUGGAACUGGAACACGGACCAGACUCCUACGGGAGGCAGCAGUGAGGAAUAUUGCGCAAUGGGGGCAACCCUGACGCAGCGACGCCGCGUGAGUGAAGAAGGCCUUCGGGUUGUAAAGCUCUGUCGGGAGGGAAGAAUGGUUAGGCGGUUAAUAGUCGUUUAGCUUGACGGUACCUUCAAAGGAAGCACCGGCUAACUCCGUGCCAGCAGCCGCGGUAAUACGGAGGGUGCGAGCGUUAAUCGGAAUUACUGGGCGUAAAGGGCGCGUAGGCGGUUUUAUAAGUCAGAUGUGAAAGCCCACGGCUUAACCGUGUGAAGUGCAUCUGAAACUGUGAGGCUAGAGUACCGGAGGGGAAGGUGGAAUUCCCGGUGUAGAGGUGAAAUUCGUAGAUAUCGGGAGGAAUACCGGUGGCGAAGGCGAUCUUCUGGACGGGUACUGACGCUGAGGCGCGAGAGCAUGGGGAGCAAACAGGAUUAGAUACCCUGNNAGUCCACAGCUGUAAACUAUGUGCACUAGAUGUAGGCGGNAAUUGACCCCGUCUGUGUCGUCGCUAACGCAUUAANUGCACCGCCUGGGGAGUACGGCCGCAAGGUUAAAACUCAAAU